GGUACCGUGGCGGAGAGGCUACGCACCGGAUUGCAAAUCCGUGUACACCGGUUCGAAUCCGGUCGGUACCUCCA
Molecule: transfer RNA, 74 nt
Filed under: Rhodospirillaceae bacterium
Lineage: Bacteria; Pseudomonadati; Pseudomonadota; Alphaproteobacteria; Rhodospirillales; Rhodospirillaceae
Also listed under: 5 other names
Description: tRNA-Cys(gca)
Rfam family: tRNA
About the family: Transfer RNA (tRNA) molecules are approximately 80 nucleotides in length. Their secondary structure includes four short double-helical elements and three loops (D, anti-codon, and T loops). Further hydrogen bonds mediate the characteristic L-shaped molecular structure. tRNAs have two regions of fundamental functional importance: the anti-codon, which is responsible for specific mRNA codon recognition, and the 3' end, to which the tRNAs corresponding amino acid is attached (by aminoacyl-tRNA synthetases). tRNAs cope with the degeneracy of the genetic code in two manners: having more than one tRNA (with a specific anti-codon) for a particular amino acid; and 'wobble' base-pairing, i.e. permitting non-standard base-pairing at the 3rd anti-codon position.
Source: RNAcentral